CCUACGGGAGGCAGCAGUGGGGAAUAUUGCACAAUGGGGGAAACCCUGAUGCAGCGACGCCGCGUGAGUGAAGAAGUAAUUCGUUAUGUAAAGCUCUAUCAGUAGGGAAGUAAAUGACGGUACCUGAGUAAGAAGCCCCGGCUAACUACGUGCCAGCAGCCGCGGUAAUACGCAGGGGGCAAGCGUUAUCCGGAUUUACUGGGUGUAAAGGGAGCGUAGGCGGCAGUGCAAGUCUGGAGUGAAAGGCCGGGGCUCAACCCCCGGACUGCUCUGGAAACUGUACGGCUGGAGUGCAGACGAGGUAAGUGGAAUUCCUAGUGUAGCGGUGAAAUGCGUAGAUAUUAGGAGGAACACCAGUGGCGAAGGCAGCUUACUGGACUGUAACUGACGUUGAGGCUCGAAAGCGUGGGGAGCGAACAGGAUUAGAUACCCCUGUAGUC
RNAcentral lists this ribosomal RNA (440 nucleotides) under uncultured bacterium. RNAcentral describes it as "partial 16S ribosomal RNA". It matches the Rfam family "Bacterial small subunit ribosomal RNA", at positions 338 to 795 of the family's 1533-position model. The record is from RNAcentral.